GUUGACUGAUUUGGGUAUAUAGAGAGAAAUAAAUUAUCUUUUCCUCAGUCUGCAGCAUUGAUCUUGUGUAGUGUUUGGUGAACUUAUUCUGUAAUUGCACAUU
Long non-coding RNA from Etheostoma spectabile (orangethroat darter), 103 nucleotides. RefSeq lists it as uncharacterized. The transcript is spliced from 3 exons. The record is from RefSeq and is a predicted model, not a curated record. Lineage: Eukaryota; Metazoa; Chordata; Actinopteri; Perciformes; Percidae.